This 213-nucleotide ribosomal RNA is filed under the name uncultured bacterium. RNAcentral's name for it is "partial 16S ribosomal RNA". It matches the Rfam family "Bacterial small subunit ribosomal RNA", at positions 1287 to 1500 of the family's 1533-position model. The record is from RNAcentral.
CUCAGUUCAGAUUGUAGGCUGAAACUCGCCUAUAUGAAGUCGGAAUUGCUAGUAAUGGCAGGUCAGCAUACUGCCGUGAAUACGUUCCCGGGCCUUGUACACACCGCCCGUCACACCAUGAGAGUUGGAGAUACCCGAAGCCUGUGAGCUAACUUUUAGAGGCAGCAGUCGAAGGUAGAAUCAAUGAUUGGGGUGAAGUCGUAACAAGGUACC